Non-coding RNA from Myotis lucifugus (little brown bat), 76 nucleotides. The record is from Rfam. Lineage: Eukaryota; Metazoa; Chordata; Mammalia; Chiroptera; Vespertilionidae.
GAGACACCCUUAUGGGGCAAGACUUGCUUCAGUGGGGCUUUGGUGCUCAUUGACUCUGCCCCCUGAGUGUGUCCCU